This 905-nucleotide long non-coding RNA is filed under the name Pan troglodytes (chimpanzee). RNAcentral's name for it is "long non-coding RNA NONPTRT005503". Lineage: Eukaryota; Metazoa; Chordata; Mammalia; Primates; Hominidae. The record is from RNAcentral.
CUCCUAAGAGGGGCUGCCACAGAGCAGGGUGCUCCUCAUUUCCUGCAUCCAGUUCUGCCCCAUGAAUCAAGCCCCAGGAUCUUAGGGGCACUGCCAAGCAUGAAUGCUGCAAUCCCACAUGUUCCCCGGUACCAUCUGCAGCCCAAGAACUUCAACUGGACAGGAGAGCCGGCAGCCAUCAACUCCUGUUCAUUGUCAAUGAAGAAGGCUGGGAGGUGCUAUUUUUCCAGUGCCAGAAUCAGGCUCACUAGCCAAGGACAAGCCAGCAGAAGGCUAGAAGCCAUAAACCGAGUCCUGGCAGGAUCAGUGCCACCCACUUUAACCCCAAAGCAGGGCUAUUUUCUGCAACCGGAAAGAGUGGCAUCUGACUCAUGGACUGAAUGCACCUUGCCCUCCAUGGUAAACUCUGAACACAGAGCAGCCAAGGUUCCCCUCUGCCCUGCGUCUGCACCCAUGCUGCAGCGUUCCAGAGCACUCCUCAACAUCAAUCAGUUCAGGUAAAAGCAGGAGGGAAGCACUCUACCUCUCCUGGAUAACCUCCCCAGGUUUCCAAAGGGCAUUCAAUCUUUGCUAAAUGAAUGACUGCCACCAAGUUCCACUUUGAAAAGCCCUGCCCAGGAACCCCAUUUGUAUAAGGCAAAAUACAAAGACACCAAGAAUUCCUCAAUACCCUAAGAUUAAUUGGGGAUCGGUAAAGACUAGAAGAUGAAGAGGCGCCAAGGCCAGCCAUGUACUCAUUUCUGCUCAUCAAGCCUUAGCCUGGGUUUAUCGCUAGGUGAUGGGUCUGAACCCUAGGUGCGGCCCGGGGCUGGAGGCCAUCCAGGAGACAAUGAGCCCCGUUCCCAGAGAAGCCGAGUGCCCAAGGCACUGGGCUGUCGCCGUCAGAAGACUGCCGAGUGGAAGCC